CAGAGCGUAGUUCAGAUGGUUAGAAUUCCAGGCUGGGGGUCUGGAGGUCGUGAGUUCGAGUCUCACCGCUCUGA
This 74-nucleotide transfer RNA is filed under the name Patescibacteria group bacterium. Its description in RNAcentral is "tRNA-Pro". It matches the Rfam family "tRNA". Rfam says of the family: Transfer RNA (tRNA) molecules are approximately 80 nucleotides in length. The record is from RNAcentral.